RNAcentral lists this long non-coding RNA (1585 nucleotides) under Capsicum annuum. RNAcentral's name for it is "long non-coding RNA (CANN_LNC001730)". The record is from RNAcentral. Lineage: Eukaryota; Viridiplantae; Streptophyta; Magnoliopsida; Solanales; Solanaceae.
UUCUCGGAAGAGGGACGUACACUUCCUUCUAACCUCGCUAAUGGUCUUUGACUUGUUCCAGGGCUACUCAAGUCUGGAGAAGUCAUCUGAGUUGCUUCAGGAAUCCCUGUUGGUUGUGCUUCAGGCUGAGAUGCUUGAUCAAGUGUAGGUCUAUAUGGUGGAUUAAUAUUUACGGAUGAAGCCACUGCUAAAUUAUCACGUACUCCUUCAAUAUUAGCACGCCCACGGCCCCUUCCACCUCGCCGACCUCUACCUCGUGCAGAUCUUGCCAUUUCUGCGACAUCACAUAAAAAGUACAUAAAGAUUCAAAAAAUGUUAUAUAGUAGUGAAAGCAUAAAAAUAUACAAUAAUGAGAUGUGGACCCCAAGGAUGCUUGAUGUGCGUUAUAUGAAGAACCCAAUAAUCAGACAGCAGAACAGUAAAGCUAAAAAUAUUGAAAAACAAGUUAAGUCCAUCGGAAAAUGCACAGGCCCAACACAUUUCUGGCAAUCGAGACCAAAGUCCUUCCUAGAAACGAGGCAAACGGUAUGUUGCGCUCUCUUCAAAAAUGCCAAACGGGUGCAUGUCGGCUCCUCCAAAAGUGGUGCAAUAUUUUGGAAUAUCCGACACAGGUGCAUCAACAUUUUGGAGAAUCAGAGCAAGAUGUUUCACUCAGGCUCAUGUUUCUGUUAUUGGCUGAACUUGAAUAAAAUCUCCAGCGUCCUUUGUAAAGGACACAUUCGAUUGAUACACAUUAUUCGUAAGUGUAAAAAUAAUAACAUAAAAUCGAUUUCUGCAAACCUUAUGCAGAAUAUGAACUGCUGUUAUCAGGUUAACUCCCCUAAUUGCAAUUGUCUACUAGCCCAUGGAACACUUAAGUAGGCACAGUACAAAUAAAUGAGAAGGGUAGAGUGGCGGACCCAUUACUAACUGAGUUUCUAACCAUGGACCACUAGCUUGCGUGGAUUUCUUAGUUAUCAAAAAAAAUUGAUACAUUAUAAAGCCUUGAAGAUUCUCAUUGAAACGAUGGGGGGAAAAACACAGCAUGAUCGCAUUACAAGAUAACUGAACAACAAUAUAAGUACAAAAUAGACGCUACAAAGAUGGACAGGGCGUCAAGCGAACAACAACAGAAUACUAAAACCAAGCUACAAGAACCUGUCUUUUGAAAAAACUAAAUGACCAGUACAAGUUAAAAUUGCAUAAUAAUUAUACGAAGUACAUAAGAGGAGAUAAAGAGACCACUUAUAAGUGUUGAAAUGCGAGAAAACUAAGUGUUGAAAUGCGAGAAAACUAACCUUCACCGCUAUUUAAAUUCUCUGGAGAUGGACGUACACUUCUUUUCAUAUUCCUUGAUAAUUGUGACUCCGACAAUGGUCUUUGACUUGUUCCAGGGUUACUUAAGUCUGGAGAAGUCGACUGAGUUACUUUAGGAAUCCCUGUUGGUUGUGCUUGCGGCUGAGAUGCUUGAUCAAGUGUAGGUCUAGCUGGUGGAUUAAUAUUUACAGAUGACUCCAAAGCAAAAUUAUCACGUACUCCUUCAAUAUUACCACGCCCGCGGCCCCUUCCACCUCGCCGGCUUCUACCUCUACCUCGCACAGAUCUU